This 211-nucleotide long non-coding RNA is filed under the name Elaeis guineensis (African oil palm). RNAcentral's name for it is "long non-coding RNA (EGUI_LNC079154)". Lineage: Eukaryota; Viridiplantae; Streptophyta; Magnoliopsida; Arecales; Arecaceae. The record is from RNAcentral.
AGCAGGGCCGAUGGGCUCGCGGGCCACAAAGGGCGGACCUGGCGUGAGGUCUAUUAAGAGCGCGCAGCCCAAUGACCUAAAAAGGGGUUGUGCACUGCUGAAGGCUGGGGGGAAGCUCCAAUUGGGGCCAAAAAAGGCUCGAUCUAGCCCAACAGGUGAAAGGACAAGACCCUGGCCUAUCGGGCAGAUUUGAUUGACCCAUCAGCCACCC